AAAUACUUGCUUCUUCUCUCAACACACACUCUUCAGAUUACACACAUACUUCUGAAUUUAAAAAUACUUCGAACACCUUUCACUACACAAUUUCAAAUACUCUCUCUACUACUACCUUCUCCAUUUCUGAUACUGAGUACUCUGCUCUUCUCUCUUCUACUGUCUGAAAUACUCCUGGUUUCCUCUUGAACUCUCAAAUACUUGCUGAAGGUUCUGAGUUUGCUCUUGCUGACUUUCUGGUUGAUUACUUACUUUUUCUUGUUCUGUUGUACUAAAAUUUACAACUGGUAUGUAUUUCUAGUUAAAUAAUACCCUCCUGACUAUGUGUUUAUUCGUUCCCUCCUGUUAUUCAUUCUCACUAUGUGUUUACUUUACGAUUUCUUUCCCUAUGCCUGCUCUGCCUCUUUCCCUAUGAUUUUGCACCCUUAGUCUGUUCUUUUCUUGUGCUUCUGUGAAUGUUCUCUAUGUGAGUCCCCUUCCCUUUGACCAUUUCUUGUGUGAGAGUACUGUUAGAGUCAUGUAAACAUCCUAUUAUUGCAAUCCAUGUCCUAGAACUGGGUUCUAUUGAAACUUUACUCAAAUAAAUUCCCAUUCCCUUUACCCCUUAUGUGUUGAGCCUUGACUCAAGCCUGGUGGUGUCCUAAUCACUAUCUAGACCCAAGUAUGACUUCCAAAAAAGUCUGCUCUUAAUUUUGUGGACCAAGCAAACGGUCAUGGGUGUUCCAGUCUAUGCCCAUGUCUGGGUAUGACCACUCUCUACUAUGGCUCCCUAACCCCUCUCUCACUUUGAACUUAUUCCUAGUCCUAAGUUCUGCCCCUCUCUGGUAAGCCAUGCUUUAGGAUCCUGGAGUUCCCUCUGAACUUGGAUGCCUGAGGGCUGGCUAUUCCACACUGCGCUAUUAUGUUAUAACAUUUAGCCAGAGUAGAAGCACUGCCUGGAGCUCCUGAAGCUCCUUGGAACUAUGAAAAACGUUGGAUAAGAGAAGACAUUGGAAAUCUGAAUUCCGGAAUUGGUGAAACACAUGUUAUUUGACACUAAGAUUUAAUUAGGCUUCUCGAGUCUAGCUGUGGGCUAUGAUGUAUUUUAAUUAUCCUUUUUUCUUCUAGUUCUGUAAUAGUUUUGUAAAAAAGAACUCGGGG
This 1140-nucleotide long non-coding RNA is filed under the name Nicotiana benthamiana. RNAcentral's name for it is "long non-coding RNA (NBEN_LNC039082)". Lineage: Eukaryota; Viridiplantae; Streptophyta; Magnoliopsida; Solanales; Solanaceae. The record is from RNAcentral.